RNAcentral lists this ribosomal RNA (388 nucleotides) under uncultured eukaryote. Its description in RNAcentral is "partial 18S ribosomal RNA". It matches the Rfam family "Eukaryotic small subunit ribosomal RNA", at positions 592 to 976 of the family's 1831-position model. The record is from RNAcentral.
CAAUAGGGUAUAUUAAAGUUGUUGCAGUUAAAAAGCUCGUAGUUGGAUUUCUGAUCGAGACAUCAGGUCGGGUCCGAGAGGAUCAUGUACUUUGAUUUUGUUUUGAUCAUCCUUGGGGAGAGCAUUUCUGGCAUUCAGUUGUCGGGAUUGGGAUCCUCAUCGUUUACUGUGAAAAAAUUAGAGUGUUCAAAGCAGGCCUCGGCCUCUGAAUACAUUAGCAUGGAAUAAUAAGAUAGGACUUUGGUGGUCUAUUUUGUUGGUUUGCACGCCAAAGUAAUGAUUAAUAGGGAUAGUUGGGGGUAUUCGUAUUCAAUUGUCAGAGGUGAAAUUCUUGGAUUUAUGGAAGACGAACUACUGCGAAAGCAUUUACCAAGGAUGUUUUCAUUAA